This 492-nucleotide long non-coding RNA is filed under the name Anas platyrhynchos platyrhynchos (common mallard). RNAcentral describes it as "lncRNA (ENSAPLG00000023769.1)". Lineage: Eukaryota; Metazoa; Chordata; Aves; Anseriformes; Anatidae. The record is from RNAcentral.
UAGAUGGCCAGUCCAAGCAAUGUCUAUUGGAUGUUUGUUAUUGUUGGGGAGGUUUCCUUAUGAAUCAUCUGUCUGGUUUGUGCGUUUUAAUUAAAAUAGAGUGUCACAAUAAAGCCUGAGAGCCAAUUUUGUAAGCAUGCCUGUUCAGGGAGUGGGGAUGGAUGGGAUCACUUGGUACAGACAUAUCCUGGGGGGCCUUUGGACAUCCUCUGUCACUCUGGCAUGUCCUAUAACCUAUGUACAGGUCAGGGAGCUGCACUGUGUGCCCCAAGGCAAACAUGCUGCCUGGGGUGGUAUACAGCCCCUGUCCUCAGCUCUUCCUCUCCUCCUGCCCCAGAAUAUAUUUUUGGGGGAGCAUCAGGACUGAAAGUUAUGGAGGAGUUCAGUGGGUUCGGAGAGGUACAGUCUGUUGGUUAUGAUAUGCAGUGCCUGCUGACAAACCAAGAAGCUGUUUUGAUGACCUGUUGUGCAAAGAAACCUGUCUGCAGGUAA